Molecule: ribosomal RNA, 508 nt
Filed under: uncultured bacterium
Lineage: Bacteria
Description: bacterial SSU rRNA
Rfam family: Bacterial small subunit ribosomal RNA
Source: RNAcentral
AUGGCUCGGGAUGAACGCUAGCGACAGGCUUAACACAUGCAAGUCGAGGGGCAGCAUAGAAGUAGCAAUACUUGGUGGCGACCGGCGCACGGGUGAGUAACGCGUAUGCAACCUACCUAUCAGAGGGGAAUAACCCGGCGAAAGUCGGACUAAUACCGCAUAAAACAGGGGCACCGCAUGGUGAUAUUUGUUAAAGAAAUUCGCUGAUAGAUGGGCAUGCGUUCCAUUAGGUAGUUGGUGAGGUAACGGCUCACCAAGCCGACGAUGGAUAGGGGAACUGAGAGGUUGGUCCCCCACACUGGUACUGAGACACGGACCAGACUCCUACGGGAGGCAGCAGUGAGGAAUAUUGGUCAAUGGGCGGGAGCCUGAACCAGCCAAGUCGCGUGAAGGAAAAGAAGGAUCUAUGGUUCGUAAACUUCUUUUGCAGGGGAAUAAAGUGCAGGACGUGUCCUGUUUUGUAUGUACCCUGAGAAUAAGGAUCGGCUAACUCCGUGCCAGCAGCUGC